GACGAACGCUGGCGGCGUGCUUAACACAUGCAAGUCGAACGAUGAAGCCGGAGCUUGCUCCGGUGGAUUAGUGGCGAACGGGUGAGUAACACGUGAGCAAUCUGCCCUUGACUCUGGGAUAACUGCGGGAAACUGUAGCUAAUACCGGAUACGACACCUUGGGGCAUCCCAGGGUGUGGAAAGAAUUUCGGUCAAGGAUGAGCUCGCGGCCUAUCAGCUAGUUGGUGAGGUAAUGGAUCACCAAGGCGACGGCGGGUAGCCGGCCUGAGAGGGUGACCGGCCACACUGGAACUGAGACACGGUCCAGACUCCUACGGGAGGCAGCAGUGGGGAAUAUUGCACAAUGGGCGAAAGCCUGAUGCAGCAACGCCGCGUGAGGGAUGAAGGCCUUCGGGUUGUAAACCUCUUUUAGCAGGGAAGAAGCGAAAGUGACGGUACCUGCAGAAAAAGCACCGGCUAACUACGUGCCAGCUGCCGCCGUAA
RNAcentral lists this ribosomal RNA (483 nucleotides) under uncultured bacterium. Its description in RNAcentral is "partial 16S ribosomal RNA". It matches the Rfam family "Bacterial small subunit ribosomal RNA", at positions 28 to 523 of the family's 1533-position model. The record is from RNAcentral.